This 54-nucleotide ribosomal RNA is filed under the name uncultured Russulaceae. RNAcentral's name for it is "5.8S ribosomal RNA". It matches the Rfam family "5.8S ribosomal RNA", at positions 1 to 53 of the family's 154-position model. From Rfam's summary of the family: 5.8S ribosomal RNA (5.8S rRNA) is a component of the large subunit of the eukaryotic ribosome. It is transcribed by RNA polymerase I as part of the 45S precursor that also contains 18S and 28S rRNA. The record is from RNAcentral. Lineage: Eukaryota; Fungi; Basidiomycota; Agaricomycetes; Russulales; Russulaceae.
CAACUUUCAACAACGGAUCUCUUGGCUCUCGCAUCGAUGAAGAACGCAGCGAAA